AGACAACUCUCAACAACGGAUAUCUUGGCUCUCGCAACGAUGAAGAACGCAGCGAAAUGCGAUACGUAGUGGUGAAUUGCAGAAUUCCGUGAAUCAUCAAAUCUUUGAACGCAAAUUGCGUCCGCGGCUUCGGCCAAGGGCAUGUUUGCCUCAGCGUCGGGUU
Molecule: ribosomal RNA, 163 nt
Filed under: Dunaliella sp. GSL3A1
Lineage: Eukaryota; Viridiplantae; Chlorophyta; Chlorophyceae; Chlamydomonadales; Dunaliellaceae
Description: 5.8S ribosomal RNA
Rfam family: 5.8S ribosomal RNA
About the family: 5.8S ribosomal RNA (5.8S rRNA) is a component of the large subunit of the eukaryotic ribosome. It is transcribed by RNA polymerase I as part of the 45S precursor that also contains 18S and 28S rRNA.
Source: RNAcentral